RNAcentral lists this ribosomal RNA (1336 nucleotides) under uncultured bacterium. RNAcentral's name for it is "bacterial SSU rRNA". It matches the Rfam family "Bacterial small subunit ribosomal RNA", at positions 28 to 1381 of the family's 1533-position model. The record is from RNAcentral.
AACGAACGCUGGCGGCGUGGAUAAGACAUGCAAGUCGAACGAGAGAAUUUGCUAGCUUGCUAAUAAUUCUCUAGUGGCGCACGGGUGAGUAACACGUGAGUAACCUGCCCCCGAGAGCGGGAUAGCCCUGGGAAACUGGGAUUAAUACCGCAUAGUAUCGAAAGAUUAAAGCAGCAAUGCGCUUGGGGAUGGGCUCGCGGCCUAUUAGUUAGUUGGUGAGGUAACGGCUCACCAAGGCGAUGACGGGUAGCCGGUCUGAGAGGAUGUCCGGCCACACUGGAACUGAGACACGGUCCAGACACCUACGGGUGGCAGCAGUCGAGAAUCAUUCACAAUGGGGGAAACCCUGAUGGUGUGACGCCGCGUGGGGGAAUGAAGGUCUUCGGAUUGUAAACCCCUGUCAUGUGGGAGCAAAUUAAAAAGAUAGUACCACAAGAGGAAGAGACGGCUAACUCUGUGCCAGCAGCCGCGGUAAUACAGAGGUCUCAAGCGUUGUUCGGAAUCACUGGGCGUAAAGCGUGCGUAGGCUGUUUCGUAAGUCGUGUGUGAAAGGCGCGGGCUCAACCCGCGGACGGCACAUGAUACUGCGAGACUAGAGUAAUGGAGGGGGAACCGGAAUUCUCGGUGUAGCAGUGAAAUGCGUAGAUAUCGAGAGGAACACUCGUGGCGAAGGCGGGUUCCUGGACAUUAACUGACGCUGAGGCACGAAGGCCAGGGGAGCGAAAGGGAUUAGAUACCCCUGUAGUCCUGGCAGUAAACGGUGCACGCUUGGUGUGCGGGGAAUCGACCCCCUGCGUGCCGGAGCUAACGCGUUAAGCGUGCCGCCUGGGGAGUACGGUCGCAAGAUUAAAACUCAAAGAAAUUGACGGGGACCCGCACAAGCGGUGGAGUAUGUGGCUUAAUUCGAUGCAACGCGAAGAACCUUACCUGGGCUUGACAUGUAAUGAACAACAUGUGAAAGCAUGCGACUCUUCGGAGGCGUUACACAGGUGCUGCAUGGCCGUCGUCAGCUCGUGUCGUGAGAUGUUUGGUUAAGUCCAGCAACGAGCGCAACCCCUGUUGCCAGUUACCAGCACGUGAAGGUGGGGACUCUGGCGAGACUGCCCAGAUCAACUGGGAGGAAGGUGGGGACGACGUCAGGUCAGUAUGGCCCUUAUGCCCAGGGCUGCACACGUACUACAAUGCCCAGUACAGAGGGGGCCGAAGCCGCGAGGCGGAGGAAAUCCUGAAAACUGGGCCCAGUUUCGGACUGUAGGCUGCGAACCCGCCUACACGAAGCCGGAAUCGCUAGUAAUGGCGCUUCAGCUACGGCGCCGUGAAUACGUUUCCCGGGUCU